GGAAGCGUGGGUGAGCGGUCGAAACCACCUCUCUGCUAAGGAGGCAGUCCUUCGGAGCUCGAAAGUUCGAAUCUUUCCGUUUCCG
RNAcentral lists this transfer RNA (85 nucleotides) under Bacteroidaceae bacterium. RNAcentral's name for it is "tRNA-Ser". It matches the Rfam family "tRNA". Rfam says of the family: Transfer RNA (tRNA) molecules are approximately 80 nucleotides in length. Their secondary structure includes four short double-helical elements and three loops (D, anti-codon, and T loops). The record is from RNAcentral. Lineage: Bacteria; Pseudomonadati; Bacteroidota; Bacteroidia; Bacteroidales; Bacteroidaceae.